This 253-nucleotide ribosomal RNA is filed under the name uncultured bacterium. Its description in RNAcentral is "partial 16S ribosomal RNA". It matches the Rfam family "Bacterial small subunit ribosomal RNA", at positions 524 to 776 of the family's 1533-position model. The record is from RNAcentral.
UACGGAGGUGGCUAGCGUUGUUCGGAAUUACUGGGCGUAAAGCGCACGUAGGCGGACGAGAAAGUCAGAGGUGAAAUCCCGGGGCUCAACCCUGGAACUGCCUUUGAAACUCCUUGUCUUGAGGUCGAGAGAGGUGAGUGGAAUUCCGAGUGUAGAGGUGAAAUUCGUAGAUAUUCGGAGGAACACCAGUGGCGAAGGCGGCUCACUGGCUCGGCACUGACGCUGAGGUGCGAAAGCGUGGGGAGCAAACAGG